RNAcentral lists this small RNA (1907 nucleotides) under Rattus norvegicus (Norway rat). Its description in RNAcentral is "uncharacterized LOC103691475". Lineage: Eukaryota; Metazoa; Chordata; Mammalia; Rodentia; Muridae. The record is from RNAcentral.
UCUCUCUCUCUGUGUGUGUGUGUUUUUGUCCUGUCUGUCUGUCUGUUCCUUCUCAUAUCCCAAUGGACUCUUGUAGACCCCUCUCGGUCCCAAAACAGAGAUGUAGUGUUUUCAUUUUAACAACUAGAUCAUUGUUAUGUCAUCAGAGACAAUUACUACUGAGGGAUAUGAUUUUGUUGAUUACAGCAUUACUUUGUAAGGAAUCAAGAAGGAAGACAAGAUAUUUAAUCAGGGACAGUUAGAAGACUCUUUAAAAACAGACAUUCAUCUUUUAAGAUAACAAUCACAUGUACAUCUUUUGUGUACUCUUUCUGGCCAUUUUAAUAGCUCUGUAUGUUUUAACCCUUGAACCUUUACCUCCAUUACAGUAAUGAUAAUGAUACCAGUUUCAUGACUAUUUUCUCUAUCCAGUCAUAGCCUUGCAGGGUUAAAACAUUUCACAUACUGUAUCCUUUGGCCUUAGGUGGUUCUCACAUGCAGGUGACUGACCACUGAUUAACUUGGUGAUGGAAGGAUGUAUAUAGACCUGAGGGAAAAGCACCUUAGAUGGAUAAUCAAUAGUUAUAAUUUAGUUUAUUCAGGAACACAGAUAAUAUAACAAUGUGAUUCUUAUUCUAUAGAUUAGGAAGCAAGGCACAGAGGAGAUGGAAUUCCUCAAGAGAAAGUCAAGGCUAGGCAUGAAAGAGUUUUAAUUCUUAGUUCUAUAAUUUUCUUUUUGAUCUGUCUAAAUGGAAUUCAUGGUAGAGAAAAAAAGAGUUGUUUUUAGAUUAUAUAGGGGAAAUACCAGGCAAAUAAGCCACAUGUAUGUAGGCUGUAUUAUGCCGCACGCGAAUUCUUUCUGGCAUGCUUUAGUAUGAUGUAAUGGAGAGACAUAGUUGUGCUCAAUCUAAGACUUACGAUUCUUAUGGUGCUUACUGAAGAAGACUGAAGAAAUGAAUCACUUCAGAAAAGAGUAUAAAAAGGCAAGGUUUGGCUGGUAAUAUCACACAAUGCUUUUAUCAAUAGGCCAUAUUUGGACAAAUGCCCAAUCUACAUUUACAUUCAACAAUUUUUGAAAAGUUGAAUGAGUAAACUCCACAUUGUAUACGCAAAACAGUAUUUGACAACCAUUAAAGCAUCAAGCCAUUUUUUCUUAUUAUUCUUUAUAGAUUCUUUUUUAACCAUUUUUUUCUUCUUUGAGACAGUGAGAGGGGGACAAACUUUGUUAAGGUUGAAUGAUUGAUUAGUCAACUGGUAGUUUAAAAGAAGAUAGUUUGAAUGAAGGAUUGCAGCAGGAGGAAGUUAGCCUGAUAAAAAUCAAUCAAUUCACACCUAUGACACAUUUCUAAGUCAGAACUGAAAAUCAAGAUUUCAUUAGUUCCUAGAAAGUCAAGAUCAAUUAAGCCAAUUGUUGUCUUUUUUCUCCCCUUUGAAAAGGCACAAGGGGAGGUCAAUGGGAGAGUCUGAAGAGAAGCAUCAAGAGGUCUUGGUUCAAAGCAAACUGGAAAAUGACGUCUGCAUAUAAUUCAGAGGUCAGCUGACUGUGGGAGCAAAGCCCCAACAGAUACAUCGAUGGCUGAACCCAAGACUCACAAUACCUUGUGGUAGAAGGGGCUUCACCAGAACUGUGAAGAAUCAGGCAACCAGGAAGUCUGCUUGAGAUCGUGUUUCCAAGGAAUAACGGGAGAGGUACAUCAAUGAUACCUCAACUAUAUGGAUGCCUAACAAGACUAGAACAGAGACAAUUUCAACAAACCUGCUAGGGCUGCUGGUGUGUAUUUGCUGAGUAUUAGCCCAAAUAAUCUUCCCGAUGGAAUAUGAUUACCAGCAUUGAACGUGGAGCUUUCCAUGAUAUGAUUUAGAGUUGAGUGGACCUUUGCCAGCCUUCAGCUACCUGCAACACAGAGUCUCCUGUACAUAAGACUCCU